GUACCUACGGGGCGCAGCAGUGGGGAAUAUUGCACAAUGGGGGAAACCCUGAUGCAGCGACGCCGCGUGAAGGAAGAAGUAUUUCGGUAUGUAAACUUCUAUCAGCAGGGAAGAAAAUGACGGUACCUGACUAAGAAGCCCCGGCUAACUACGUGCCAGCAGCCGCGGUAAUACGUAGGGUGCGAGCGUUAAUCGGAAUUACUGGGCGUAAAGCGCACGUAGGCUGUAUAACAAGUCAAGGGUGAAAUGCCACGGCUCAACCGUGGAACUGCCUUUGAAACUGUCAAACUGGAGUAUGUGAGAGG
This 305-nucleotide ribosomal RNA is filed under the name uncultured bacterium. RNAcentral's name for it is "bacterial SSU rRNA". It matches the Rfam family "Bacterial small subunit ribosomal RNA", at positions 333 to 657 of the family's 1533-position model. The record is from RNAcentral.